AGAUGUAUUAUAUGAGACAAGUAAGAUUAAGUUUUUUUUUUAAAGUUUUUAUUUAAUACCUUGAUUUAUUUUUAUGUAGUGCUGAGGAUCAAACCCAGUGCCUCAAACGUGUUAGGCAAGUGUACUACCACUGAUCCACAACCCCAGCCCCUAUGAUUAGGUUCUAUAGAGGCAGACUUUGAACAUACUGUUCUGAGAAAGCUGGGAGUGGGAGUUUCUGUAAGAAUAGCAUAUUGUCAAAUUAUAAAAUUAUAACUCCAAAUGCUACAUAUAUUUAGAAAGUUCAUGUUUUUAGCCAAUACUAAAUUGUAUUUCCUUUCUUUCCCACAUAGGCCCAAAAGAAGUUUAAUGCAAAAGAAGCAAAACAAAACGAAUUAGAAUAUUGCAGACUUACUGAAACUCUUGCAGCUGCCAAGGAGAAAGAAUUUCAGGAUUAUGCCAGAGAAGUAAUUAAACAUGAAUCUGAAUCAACAAAUAAAUUUAUUUAUCCUCUUGUAAAAUCUGCACAGGAAAGACCUGGAGGUGGCCACGGACCAGCUUUUAUGGGGAGAGGUGGAUUAAGACCAAGCUAUCAGGCAAAUGAUAUUACUGGAGUCCAGCUUCCUUUUUAUAAUUCUCAGGGAUCAAAAUAUAAUAAUUUUCAGAAGUCUAAGGGAAGAUUAGGUUUUACAUGGUAGAAAAAAUAAUUUUUAAGAUUGAGAAGACUGAAGUGGUAGCAAAUGAGCUACAAAUGUAAAUGGACUAUAUUCUUAUUAUUUAAUAAAUCUGUCAUUCAUCUCAAUACAAUUAUACCUGAUUUGAUUCUUCACAAAAUAUUUCUUUUCUUUUUUGGUAUUGGGGACUGAACCUGGCACAAUAUUUCCUUUGAGUAUAUAUAACCCUAAAGGUAACUGAUUGCAAUUCCUUUUUUAAUUAUUAAAUACACAAAAUUUAUUUAAAAUGUGUAUUCAAUAGCAUUAAGUAUAUUCGCAAUAUUGUGCAACCUGACUAUUCAUUGCUCCAAAUGGAAACUCUGCA
RNAcentral lists this long non-coding RNA (1017 nucleotides) under Marmota monax (woodchuck). The record is from RNAcentral. Lineage: Eukaryota; Metazoa; Chordata; Mammalia; Rodentia; Sciuridae.